AAAUGUUACUCUGUGAUUUAUUUUCCAGGGAACCAGAGACCACCUGAUGACAACAUUGAUUUAAACUCAGUAAGAAGCCGAACAGCGAAGCGUUCUGGUCCAGCAGCCAGUCAGGAGCAGAAUGAUGAAGAUGAUGGUGCGGUGAACUAUGAAAACUUUGGAGAACCUUCUACUUCUGU
Thunnus maccoyii (southern bluefin tuna) is the source of this 179-nucleotide long non-coding RNA. RefSeq lists it as uncharacterized. The record is from RefSeq and is a predicted model, not a curated record. The transcript is spliced from 3 exons. Lineage: Eukaryota; Metazoa; Chordata; Actinopteri; Scombriformes; Scombridae.